This 72-nucleotide transfer RNA is filed under the name Camelus bactrianus (Bactrian camel). It matches the Rfam family "tRNA". From Rfam's summary of the family: Transfer RNA (tRNA) molecules are approximately 80 nucleotides in length. Their secondary structure includes four short double-helical elements and three loops (D, anti-codon, and T loops). Lineage: Eukaryota; Metazoa; Chordata; Mammalia; Artiodactyla; Camelidae. The record is from Rfam by way of RNAcentral. RNAcentral also lists the same sequence under 2 other names.
GAGGGUAUAGCUUAGUGGUAGACUGCAUGCUUAGCAUGCAUGAGGUUCUGGGUUCAAUCCCCAGCAGUUCCU